GACGAACGCUGGCGGCGUGCUUAACACAUGCAAGUCGAACGGAAAGGCCCUGCUUUUGUGGGGUGCUCGAGUGGCGAACGGGUGAGUAACACGUGAGUAACCUGCCCUUGACUUUGGGAUAACUUCAGGAAACUGGGGCUAAUACCGGAUAGGAGCUCCUGCUGCAUGGUGGGGGUUGGAAAUUUUCGGCGGUUGUGGAUGGACUCGCGGCUUAUCAGCUUGUUGGUGGGGUAGUGGCUUACCAAGGCUUUGACGGGUAGCCGGCCUGUGAGGGUGGCCGGCCACAUUGGGACUGAGAUACGGACCAGACUCCUACGGGAGGCAGCAGGGGGGAAUAUUGCACAAUGGGAGGAAGCCUGAUGCAGCAACGCCGCGUGCGGGAUGACGGUCUUCGGGUUGUAAACCGCUUUCGCCUGUGACGAAGCGUGAGUGACGGUAAUGGGUAAAGAAGCACCGGCUAACUACGUG
Molecule: ribosomal RNA, 468 nt
Filed under: uncultured bacterium
Lineage: Bacteria
Description: partial 16S ribosomal RNA
Rfam family: Bacterial small subunit ribosomal RNA
Source: RNAcentral